UGGGGAAUAUUGCACAAUGGGCGCAAGCCUGAUGCAGCAACGCCGCGUGAGGGACGACGGCCUUCGGGUUGUAAACCUCUUUUAGUAGGGAAGAAGCGAAAGUGACGGUACCUGCAGAAAAAGCACCGGCUAACUACGUGCCAGCAGCCGCGGUAAUACGUAGGGUGCGAGCGUUGUCCGGAAUUAUUGGGCGUAAAGAGCUCGUAGGCGGUCUGUCGCGUCUGCUGUGAAAACCCGAGGCUCAACCUCGGGCCUGCAGUGGGUACGGGCAGACUAGAGUGCGGUAGGGGAGAAUGGAAUUCCUGGUGUAGCGGUGGAAUGCGCAGAUAUCAGGAGGAACACCGAUGGCGAAGGCAGUUCUCUGGGCCGUAACUGACGCUGAGGAGCGAAAGCGUGGGGAGCGAACAGGAUUAGAUACCCUGGUAGUCCACGCCGUAAACGUUGGGCGCUAGAUGUGGGGCACCAUUCCACGGUUUCCGUGUCGCAGCUAACGCAUUAAGCGCCCCGCCUGGGGAGUACGGCCGCAAGGCUAAAACUGCAAAGGAAUUGACGGGGUCAUAGCUG
This 564-nucleotide ribosomal RNA is filed under the name uncultured bacterium. RNAcentral's name for it is "partial 16S ribosomal RNA". It matches the Rfam family "Bacterial small subunit ribosomal RNA", at positions 355 to 932 of the family's 1533-position model. The record is from RNAcentral.